UGAGACACCGACUGCUGGUUCAUGGCCCCACCAGUAGGGGGAGACGCCACCUAUUUCCCAGCUGAAAGUUGUUUGGUCCAGUCAGUUCUCACUGGGCUCAUCUAGAGGGACGCCGCUCCUGCACAUGCCUGGUCCUGAGAUCCUACCAGGACCUGACCUUGAUCCAGAACCUGAUCUUGAUCCAAGUCUGGACCAGAGCCGGACCAGAAUCCUUCAGCACCAGAUCCAGGAACAGCAGCAGCUCGGUUCUUCUCUCUCACUUCCUGCUAGGUUAACUUUGGCUCCACUUUGACUCGGAUCUGCAGCGACUCGGGUCGACCAACAACUCUCAGAUCAGCGAGGGGGUGGAGCCAGCUAUCGCGCCAUGUUGCCUUGGGUGACAAUCCUGAUGGUGAUGAUGAUGAAGAGAGACACUGCCUCGGCUGACAUCACCAACAUAACUGCAACCAGCGGCGAGAGACUCAAGCUGUCACCAGACCUCAGAACAGGGAGGAUGGGGACCGGACUGGAAUUCAGAUGGACCCACCCCCACUUGCUGCUGGACAACCGGAACACCAGGUGUCACCACGACCGCUGUGAGCUGCUGGAGGACGGGUCGCUGAGCUUCAGCAGAGUCCAGCCAGAGGACUCUGGAAUCUACACGCUGGAGGUCUACAACCUACAGGGGAAGAGGCAACAUGAGAAGGUGUUCCGCCUGCAGGUGGAAGAAAUCAACCAGUCCAGGACAACUGCCAUCGUCUGCUCGCUCCUCCUGUUACUAAUCCUGCUGCUCCUCAUCAUCUCCUUCCUCCUGUGGAGGAGGAGGCUUCUCAGCUCCAGGACUUCAGGUGCAGCAGGUGAAAGGGAGACCCAGAUCUACAUGGAGAUGCGUGGUAACCAUGGCAACAAGGAUCAAGAGGAGGCGGAAAAGAAGGAGGAAGAACCUAUUUAUGUUCCCUGUUAUCCUGGAGUUCCUGCUGAGCCGGCCGAGAACGUCUAUGUCUGAUGGCCAAUCGGAGCGCUGCACUGUGGGGCCGGCCAAACAGAGUGCUGUGCUGUGGGGCUGGCCAAUCAGAACGCUAUGCUGCAGGGCUGGCCGAUCAGAGGAAUUCAGGAUAGGCCAAUCAGAAUGCUGUGCUGCAGGGCCGGCCAAUCAGAACGCUGCGCUGUGGGGCUGGCCAAUCAGAACGCUGUGCUGCAGGGCUGGCCAAUCAGAGCACUUUGCUGCAGGGCCAGCCAAUCAGAGCGCUGCAAGGCUGGCACUCAGCUGUGAUUGGCUGAGCUGUUAAACUGUUUUCCUUUCUACCAAAUAAAGAAAUAAAUUAACCCAGACAUUGAUGUUAGAACCUGCUGAUGUCUUUCUCUUCAGCUCCGGCCAGGUUCCUGUCAGACAGAACCAGGUCCGUUCCAGUUUUUUCUGCCUGGUUCUGCUUCAUGGACUCAGAACCAGAAUUCUGGGACCAUCUGGACCUGCAGCUUGGUUUAUGAUCAGAGUCCUGGAGGUUCUGGAGGUUCUGGAGGCCUGCUCUGUGACCCAGGAGAAAGUUCUGGUGAUGUUACACAUCUGAACCGGUUCAUCAUCAGGCCACAGGAAGCCGGUGGAGCUCUGAUCUCUGGGACAGGAAGUGGUUUCAGAAUAAAUGUCAUCAGAACA
Molecule: RNA transcript, 1633 nt
Organism: Poecilia latipinna (sailfin molly)
Lineage: Eukaryota; Metazoa; Chordata; Actinopteri; Cyprinodontiformes; Poeciliidae
Exons: 7
Source: RefSeq, a predicted model, not a curated record